This 439-nucleotide ribosomal RNA is filed under the name uncultured bacterium. Its description in RNAcentral is "partial 16S ribosomal RNA". It matches the Rfam family "Bacterial small subunit ribosomal RNA", at positions 338 to 795 of the family's 1533-position model. The record is from RNAcentral.
CCUACGGGAGGCUGCAGUGGGGAAUAUUGCACAAUGGGGGAAACCCUGAUGCAGCGACGCCGCGUGAGUGAAGAAGUAAUUCGUUAUGUAAAGCUCUAUCAGCAGGGAAGAAAAUGACGGUACCUGAGUAAGAAGCCCCGGCUAACUACGUGCAGGCGCCGCGGGAAUACGUAGGGGGCAAGCGUUAUCCGGGUUUACUGGGGGUAAAGGGAGCGUAGACGGCAGUGCAAGUCUGGAGUGAAAGGCGGGGGCUCAACCCCCGGGCUGCUCUGGAAACUGUACGGCUGGAGUGCAGGAGAGGUAAGUGGAAUUCCUAGUGUAGCGGUGAAAUGCGUAGAUAUUAGGAGGAACACCAGUGGCGAAGGCGGCUUACUGGACUGUAACUGACGUUGAGGCUCGAAAGCGUGGGGAGCAAACAGGAUUAGAUACCCGUGUAGUC